Molecule: transfer RNA, 73 nt
Filed under: Leguminivora glycinivorella
Lineage: Eukaryota; Metazoa; Arthropoda; Insecta; Lepidoptera; Tortricidae
Description: tRNA-Thr
Rfam family: tRNA
About the family: Transfer RNA (tRNA) molecules are approximately 80 nucleotides in length. Their secondary structure includes four short double-helical elements and three loops (D, anti-codon, and T loops).
Source: RNAcentral
GGCGAGGUGGCCUAGGGGUUCAUGGCGUUAGCCCGGUGUGCUAAAGACGCCGGUUCGAAUCCGGCCUUCACUA